AACGAACGCUGGCGGCAUGCCUAACACAUGCAAGUCGAACGAGACCUUCGGGUCUAGUGGCGCACGGGUGCGUAACGCGUGGGAAUCUGCCCUUGGGUUCGGAAUAACAGUUGGAAACGACUGCUAAUACCGGAUGAUGACGUAAGUCCAAAGAUUUAUCGCCCAAGGAUGAGCCCGCGUAGGAUUAGCUAGUUGGUGAGGUAAAGGCUCACCAAGGCGACGAUCCUUAGCUGGUCUGAGAGGAUGAUCAGCCACACUGGGACUGAGACACGGCCCAGACUCCUACGGGAGGGAGGAGUGGGGAAUAUUGGAGAAGGGGCGAAAGCCUGAUCCAGCCAUGCCGCGUGAGUGAUGAAGGCCUUAGGGUUGUAAAGCUCUUUUACCCGGGAUGAUAAUGACAGUACCGGGAGAAUAAGCUCCGGCUAACUACGUG
RNAcentral lists this ribosomal RNA (433 nucleotides) under uncultured bacterium. RNAcentral's name for it is "partial 16S ribosomal RNA". It matches the Rfam family "Bacterial small subunit ribosomal RNA", at positions 29 to 507 of the family's 1533-position model. The record is from RNAcentral.